Molecule: small RNA, 1601 nt
Filed under: Rattus norvegicus (Norway rat)
Lineage: Eukaryota; Metazoa; Chordata; Mammalia; Rodentia; Muridae
Description: uncharacterized LOC108351167
Source: RNAcentral
UUGUGCCGUGUGUGGAGGGGGAGAAUUCCUACGGGUGGGUUUCCGAAUAUUGUGUUCAACUUUUUGAAAGCAGCUCGUGACCCCGAAACUGCAUCCCCCCCGGAGCCGGGGACCCAGGCGCCAGGCGGGCGGGUGAACCCGGCCAGUCCCUCCCAAUCCCCGCAACCCCCCGCCUCCGUGUGUGGGGGGGGGACCCAGGCCUGGAGGAAGGCUGGGCAGGUGCCGAGGGCUGUGCCGAAAGCGCUGAAAUCGAAAACCCUCGCCACUCAGGAAGAAUUGAGGCACAAGGAUUACAGAUGCAGCUCGGGAACAGCCCUGUACUCCAGCCAGUGCCUGGUCGCCCGUGGGCCCACCGGGCUCCGCGGUUCGCUGGCGGCGCCGCCUUGUGAGCGCUAAAGCCGGGAGGAGGGCUCAGGCAAGGCGCGCAGCUCUGAGCGCGCCCCUACCCGCUUCGGCCCGCAGCAGCCGGGACUUGCCUCUCCGCAAGUAAGGCUCUGCGCCGCCCUCUGAGUCCACCUCCAGGCCACAACACUGCCAGCGCUUCUGCAGCUUAGACUGGAAACACUAUGCUGCCUCCCGAAGCCGGGCCAGCUGUAAAUCAGUGAAGCAGCCCAGCUCCUCAAAGAUCCGGAGCUGGCCGACCCCAGACUGAUUCUCAACAGGUGGCUGGCAUCAACGCUCCAGAGAUGGGUCCUCACCUCCCAAGGUGCCUUCACUCCCAGAGGGCCCGGGCUCUCUGCCACAGCCCAACACUGGGCUUGCGCUCAGAGAGAAGGAAUAAGUGCUCUGAGGUUUGAACUCUGAAGUAUAAACUUACUCUGGCUGUGGUGGCAUAGACUUGUGGUACGUCAGCAGUCCACGGUCAGCCUUGUCUACAUAGCAAGUUUAAGGCCAGUCUGGACUACAUGAGACCAUGUCUGAAAAAAAGAAAAGCCCCAAGUGGAAAACGGAAAGCAGAAAAGAGAAUAUUCCUAGUGCGACAAGAAAUGUUCACCUCUCUCGAUGAUUUCUCUGCAGAAUGUGUUUAUAUGCUACGUGAUCUGUGGAGAAUCACCAAGCUGUGGAGGAAGAGAGGAAUAUGUAGACCCAAGCAGAAUUCUCAAAGAAUUUCUAGACGCUCCGAACCCAAGUCACACAGGCUUUAAGUAUUGGUCAAUCUCCAGGAAUGAAACAGAAACUUACUCCACCACUCAAGUCCUGUUUCUGAUCGAGGGACUAAAGGGCUAGGCCAACCAGUGGUUGCCAUGGAAGCUGCAUUAUGGAGUCCUGUCCUGCAAGGAGAGUUAGAUUAGAAGGAGCUGGGAUUCUUGGAAUCUGCAGAAGCAGCAUGCUGGGUAGGAAGAACCCAGAAAGCGUGCCUCUGAGACAGUCAGUCUGUCCACAUACAAAAGGCAGGCACCCACAGGGCUGGGGGGGCUAUUAAGUCAAACCUGGAGUCACAACCCCAGUGCCGUCAGACGGUCCCCAACCCUUUGCAGCAAGGUAGACAUGUGUCAGUGUGGCUGAAAAGCUUCUUCUGUGAGGUUUAACAACUUUCUGGUGUAACUUCUGAGAGGACUGAUUGCUUAUUCAUGUGGAAGCAAGACGCCCAGUUCACUUCG